Molecule: ribosomal RNA, 566 nt
Filed under: uncultured bacterium
Lineage: Bacteria
Description: partial 16S ribosomal RNA
Rfam family: Bacterial small subunit ribosomal RNA
Source: RNAcentral
UGGGGGAAUUUUGGACAAUGGGCGAAAGCCUGAUCCAGCAAUGCCGCGUGUGUGAAGAAGGCCUUCGGGUUGUAAAGCACUUUUGUCCGGAAAGAAAUCCUCUGGGUUAAUACCUCGGGGGGAUGACGGUACCGGAAGAAUAAGCACCGGCUAACUACGUGCCAGCAGCCGCGGUAAUACGUAGGGUGCAAGCGUUAAUCGGAAUUACUGGGCGUAAAGCGUGCGCAGGCGGUUUUGUAAGACGGAUGUGAAAUCCCCGGGCUUAACCUGGGAACUGCAUUCGUGACUGCAAGGCUAGAGUAUGGCAGAGGGGGGUAGAAUUCCACGUGUAGCAGUGAAAUGCGUAGAGAUGGUGGAGGAAUACCGAUGGCGAAGGCAGCCCCCUGGGCCAAUACUGACGCUCAUGCACGAAAGCGUGGGGAGCAAACAGGAUUAGAUACCCUGGUAGUCCACGCCCUAAACGAUGUCAACUAGUUGUUGGGGAUUCAUUUCCUUAGUAACGUAGCUAACGCGUGAAGUUGACCGCCUGGGGAGUACGGUCGCAAGAUUAAAACUCAAAUGAAUUG